Long non-coding RNA from Aphis gossypii (cotton aphid), 1083 nucleotides. RefSeq lists it as uncharacterized. The transcript is spliced from 5 exons. The record is from RefSeq and is a predicted model, not a curated record. Lineage: Eukaryota; Metazoa; Arthropoda; Insecta; Hemiptera; Aphididae.
AACCGAAGAGAAUGUUGUCAUAACCAUAAACCAAUUGUCAUGAAUUUCCGCCAUGACCAAUUGCGAAUGGCAAUAAGGAUGUUUUUUUUUUUUUGUAACCACAAUAACCAUCAUUAUUUUAAGAGACAAUUCAAUUUACAAUCAGAUAGUGAUGACUAUUUUAGUUUAACAGAAGCAGCUAAAAAAAUCGACGUACCUAUCCAAUGGAAGAGAUAAUUCAGUAUGCGAUUGUAUGCAAAACAAUUUGUCACCGGGUUACCGAACGAUCAAAGUGUGUAUGAAAAAUCGUACCCGGACUCUUUGGUCAAAUUCUAGAUUGAUGUCGUCUUUGGCCCACGUUACUGAUGGUUCAGGAACUCCAAUGGCUUCACACGCGAGUCGCAACUGAUCGUCUACCGACACCGUCGUGUGGCCCGGUUCUACGAUUAUUUCCGGAGGCGCUGUAUGUACAAUAAUACACAAAACACAUAGGCCACUGACUUAACAACGUGAGAACAGUUUUAUAUUAUCGAUACUGAAAUAUAAUAUUAUACAGAACACGUCUAAUUUUGACCAAAAACAGUGAUUGUCUAAAUAACACGUCAAUGCAGACCCAAGAAGUUAUUAACACCAAAAAGUAAAUUCGACUUAACGGAUGUAAGCUGCAGUUAUAAUAAUUUAAUAAAUAGGUAUGUGUUCAUACAUAUAUAUGUUUUAAUAUAAAAAUGUUAUUAAAUAAUGUCAAUUAUAUUUUUAUACUUUCUAAAUAUUAUUUUUAGGUAUUUUAAACAAUUUCAAGAUACUUAUUCAAAGUUCUCAUUAAAUUGUAAAUUGUAGACUACCUUUGACUUCCAUAUGAGUUUUCUCAGUAAGCAUAAUUGUCGUCAAUUUGAUGGUUUAUUAAAUUUGAUCUAUCCGCUCUUUGACAGGUAUAAUACCUAAUUGAAUACAAAUAUUGAUCAAAUUCAAUUCAUUAUUUUACAGUUGUAAAAAACACGAUAUUGCGUGUGUUAAAUUUACAGUUGAUGUGUUCUAUGGACUGAAACAAAACUACGAAACUGAACGCGGCGAGAGGAGAAAAUCGAUUAAGUCGGAGGUACACAU